Molecule: transfer RNA, 59 nt
Filed under: Loxodonta africana (African savanna elephant)
Lineage: Eukaryota; Metazoa; Chordata; Mammalia; Proboscidea; Elephantidae
Source: Rfam by way of RNAcentral
UGGUGUAAACAGUUAACAUGCUGAGCUGCUAACCCAAAGGCUGGUGGUUUGAAUCCACC